RNAcentral lists this ribosomal RNA (253 nucleotides) under uncultured bacterium. Its description in RNAcentral is "partial 16S ribosomal RNA". It matches the Rfam family "Bacterial small subunit ribosomal RNA", at positions 524 to 776 of the family's 1533-position model. The record is from RNAcentral.
UACGGGGGGGGCAAGCGUUGUUCGGAAUUACUGGGCGUAAAGGGCUCGUAGGCGGCCAACUAAGUCAGACGUGAAAGCCCUCGGCUCAACUGAGGAAGUGCAUCCGAAACUGGCAGGCUAGAGUACUAAAGAGGGUCGCGGAAUUCCCGGUGUAGAGGUGAAAUUCGUAGAUAUUCGCAAGAACACCAGUGGCGAAGGCGGCUCACUGGCCCGGUACUGACGCUGAGGUGCGAAAGCGUGGGGAGCAAACAGG